This 68-nucleotide transfer RNA is filed under the name Elateridae sp. GENSP01. RNAcentral's name for it is "tRNA-Ala". Lineage: Eukaryota; Metazoa; Arthropoda; Insecta; Coleoptera; Elateridae. The record is from RNAcentral.
AGGAUAAUAGUUAAAAAACAACAUUUAACUUGCACUUAAAAAUUAUUGAAAUCAAUCAAUUUAUCUUA